GCACAAUGCAAGGACUAUCUCCAGAUUUUCACCACAUUCAAAUAUGCCAUUUUAUCUACCUCCCAUGUGGAUCCUCUCUGGAUUUAACAGAGUUAUGGUUUAGAUGUACUAGCUCUAUACGAGAUACAGCCUAUUUGUGCCUGGUGGAACUGUUCCUCUCUAGCGUGCUUGAGUGAUUUUUUGUGUUCCUUUUUGCUCUUACUGGCCCGUGGGCUUGCAUGUUUGCUGGAAAGGAUCAACAUGCCCUCCAUUUUCUGACAUCUGCCAUGUUAGGAAAGUGGCGGGCAGUCCAUCGGCCUUAGAUGAUAACAGUAACACUGGGCAACACUACACCACGUAACUACGUACACCACGUACAUUAUUCUAAUGUAUUAUUUCAUAACGGUGCUAGGCUGGCUUAGAUAUCACCUCUAAUUAUGUCUGUAGAUUUUUGACCACACCCUCCAUACAUCAAGAAAUUUGACGCGCUGGGGACAGAAUCUCCUUCCUAUUUACACCACAUUUUACUGAUUCUAUCAUUUUUAUCUGAGUGAAAAUGCUCCCUGAAAAAAACAAAACAUUUAACACCAUUAACUCCAGAGAUGUUUUCUAC
Non-coding RNA from Pelobates cultripes (western spadefoot toad), 592 nucleotides. NCBI's taxonomy places the organism in Eukaryota, Metazoa, Chordata, Amphibia, Anura, Pelobatidae. The record is from the annotation of a GenBank genome assembly.